This 253-nucleotide ribosomal RNA is filed under the name uncultured bacterium. Its description in RNAcentral is "partial 16S ribosomal RNA". It matches the Rfam family "Bacterial small subunit ribosomal RNA", at positions 524 to 776 of the family's 1533-position model. The record is from RNAcentral.
UACGUAGGGGGCAAGCGUUAUCCGGAAUUACUGGGUGUAAGGGGAGCGUAGACGGUAAUGUAAGUCUGGAGUGAAAGGCGGGGGCCCAACCCCCGGACUGCUCUGGAAACUAUGUUACUAGAGUGCAGGAGAGGUAAGCGGAAUUCCUAGUGUAGCGGUGAAAUGCGUAGAUAUUAGGAGGAACUCCGAUUGCGAAGGCAGCUCACUGGACUGCAACUGACACUGAGGCUCGAAAGUGUGGGUAUCAAACAGG